AUCACGACUCUCGGCAACGGAUAUCUUGGCUCUUGCAUCGAUGAAGAACGUAGCGAAAUGCGAUACUUGGUGUGAAUUGCAGAAUCCCGUGAACCAUCGAGUCUUUGAACGCAAGUUGCGCCCGAGACCUUUAGGUUGAGGGCACACCUGCUUGGGCGUCAUG
This 163-nucleotide ribosomal RNA is filed under the name Asarum heterotropoides var. mandshuricum. Its description in RNAcentral is "5.8S ribosomal RNA". It matches the Rfam family "5.8S ribosomal RNA". From Rfam's summary of the family: 5.8S ribosomal RNA (5.8S rRNA) is a component of the large subunit of the eukaryotic ribosome. The record is from RNAcentral. Lineage: Eukaryota; Viridiplantae; Streptophyta; Magnoliopsida; Piperales; Asaraceae.